This 67-nucleotide transfer RNA is filed under the name Marcia recens. Its description in RNAcentral is "tRNA-Pro". The record is from RNAcentral. Lineage: Eukaryota; Metazoa; Mollusca; Bivalvia; Venerida; Veneridae.
UCAAAGUAUAGUUUAAUUAAAAUGCUAGUUUUGGGGACUAGAGAUGUCUUUAGAAGACUAAUUUGAU